UACGGAGGGUGCAAGCGUUAUCCGGAAUUAUUGGGCGUAAAGCGUCCGUAGGUGGUUAUUCAAGUCAGUUGUUAAAACGUGGAGCUUAACUCCAUAAGGGCAAUUGAAACUGAAUGGCUAGAGUGCGAUAGGGGCAAGGGGAAUUCCCAGUGUAGCGGUGAAAUGCGUAGAGAUCGGGAAGAACACCGGUGGCGAAAGCGCUCUGCUGGGCCGCGACUGACACUCACAGGACGAAAGCUAGGGGAGCGAAUGGG
RNAcentral lists this unclassified non-coding RNA (254 nucleotides) under uncultured cyanobacterium. Its description in RNAcentral is "contains 16S-23S intergenic spacer region". It matches the Rfam family "Bacterial small subunit ribosomal RNA", at positions 524 to 776 of the family's 1533-position model. Lineage: Bacteria; Bacillati; Cyanobacteriota. The record is from RNAcentral.